GCCGGUGUGAUGGAAUUGGUAGACGUAGCGGAUUCAAAAUCCGCCGGUGGCGACAUCGUAUGGGUUCGAGUCCCAUCACCGGCACCA
Molecule: transfer RNA, 87 nt
Filed under: Lawsonibacter sp.
Lineage: Bacteria; Bacillati; Bacillota; Clostridia; Eubacteriales; Oscillospiraceae
Description: tRNA-Leu
Rfam family: tRNA
About the family: Transfer RNA (tRNA) molecules are approximately 80 nucleotides in length. Their secondary structure includes four short double-helical elements and three loops (D, anti-codon, and T loops). Further hydrogen bonds mediate the characteristic L-shaped molecular structure. tRNAs have two regions of fundamental functional importance: the anti-codon, which is responsible for specific mRNA codon recognition, and the 3' end, to which the tRNAs corresponding amino acid is attached (by aminoacyl-tRNA synthetases). tRNAs cope with the degeneracy of the genetic code in two manners: having more than one tRNA (with a specific anti-codon) for a particular amino acid; and 'wobble' base-pairing, i.e. permitting non-standard base-pairing at the 3rd anti-codon position.
Source: RNAcentral